AGGCGUGUAGCUCAACGGGUAGAGCAACGGUCUCCAAAACCGUAGGUUGCGGGUUCAAGUCCUGCCACGCCUGCCA
RNAcentral lists this transfer RNA (76 nucleotides) under Anaerolineae bacterium. Its description in RNAcentral is "tRNA-Trp". It matches the Rfam family "tRNA". From Rfam's summary of the family: Transfer RNA (tRNA) molecules are approximately 80 nucleotides in length. Their secondary structure includes four short double-helical elements and three loops (D, anti-codon, and T loops). Further hydrogen bonds mediate the characteristic L-shaped molecular structure. tRNAs have two regions of fundamental functional importance: the anti-codon, which is responsible for specific mRNA codon recognition, and the 3' end, to which the tRNAs corresponding amino acid is attached (by aminoacyl-tRNA synthetases). tRNAs cope with the degeneracy of the genetic code in two manners: having more than one tRNA (with a specific anti-codon) for a particular amino acid; and 'wobble' base-pairing, i.e. permitting non-standard base-pairing at the 3rd anti-codon position. RNAcentral also lists the same sequence under 2 other names. The record is from RNAcentral. Lineage: Bacteria; Bacillati; Chloroflexota; Anaerolineae.